UGCGUAGGGGGUGCAUCUAAUACUGGGAGGCUAGAGUGCAGGAGAGGAAAGCGGAAUUCCUAGUGUAGCGGUGAAAUGCGUAGAUAUUAGGAGGAACACCAGUGGCGAAGGCGGCUUUCUGGACUGUAACUGACACUGAGGCACGAAAGCGUGGGGAGCAAACA
This 164-nucleotide ribosomal RNA is filed under the name uncultured Eubacteriales bacterium. Its description in RNAcentral is "uncultured Clostridiales bacterium partial 16S ribosomal RNA". It matches the Rfam family "Bacterial small subunit ribosomal RNA", at positions 611 to 774 of the family's 1533-position model. Lineage: Bacteria; Bacillati; Bacillota; Clostridia; Eubacteriales. The record is from RNAcentral. RNAcentral also lists the same sequence under 1 other name.